RNAcentral lists this ribosomal RNA (265 nucleotides) under Pseudomonas sp. RNAcentral's name for it is "partial 16S ribosomal RNA". It matches the Rfam family "Bacterial small subunit ribosomal RNA", at positions 516 to 780 of the family's 1533-position model. The record is from RNAcentral. Lineage: Bacteria; Pseudomonadati; Pseudomonadota; Gammaproteobacteria; Pseudomonadales; Pseudomonadaceae.
CGCGGUAAUACAGAGGGUGCAAGCGUUAAUCGGAAUUACUGGGCGUAAAGCGCGCGUAGGUGGUUUGUUAAGUUGAAUGUGAAAGCCCCGGGCUCAACCUGGGAACUGCAUCCAAAACUGGCAAGCUAGAGUACGGUAGAGGGUGGUGGAAUUUCCUGUGUAGCGGUGAAAUGCGUAGAUAUAGGAAGGAACACCAGUGGCGAAGGCGACCACCUGGACUGAUACUGACACUGAGGUGCGAAAGCGUGGGGAGCAAACAGGAUUA